AUUGAACGCUGGCGGCAGGCUUAACACAUGCAAGUCGAGCGAGCGGCGGACGGGAGUAAUGUCUGGGAAACUGCCUGUUGGAGGGGGGUAACUACUGGAAACGGUAGCUAAUAUCGCACAUCACCUCAUGUGUCCAGAUGGGAUUAGCUAGUAGGUGGGGUAAUGGGUCACCUAGGCGGCGAUUCCUAGCUGGUCUGAGAGGAUGACCAGGCACACUGGAAAUGAGGCACGGUCCAAACUCCUACGGGAGGCAGGAGUGGGGAAUAUUGCACAAUGGGCGCAAGGCUGAUGCAGCCAUGCCGCGUGUGUGAAGAAGGCCUUCGGGUUGUAAAGCACUUUCAGCGAGGAGACGUUACUCGCAGAAGAAGCACCGGCUAACUCAGUGCCAGCCGCCGCGGUAAUUC
RNAcentral lists this ribosomal RNA (404 nucleotides) under uncultured bacterium. RNAcentral describes it as "partial 16S ribosomal RNA". It matches the Rfam family "Bacterial small subunit ribosomal RNA", at positions 30 to 526 of the family's 1533-position model. The record is from RNAcentral.